UGGGGAAUCUUGGACAAUGGGGGCAACCCUGAUCCAGCAAUGCCGCGUGAGUGAAGAAGGCCUUCGGGUUGUAAAGCUCUUUUGUCAGGGAAGAAACGGUAGUAGCGAAUAACUAUUACUAAUGACGGUACCUGAAGAAUAAGCACCGGCUAACUACGUGCCAGCAGCCGCGGUAAUACGUAGGGUGCAAGCGUUAAUCGGAAUUACUGGGCGUAAAGCGUGCGCAGGCGGUUGUGUAAGUCAGAUGUGAAAUCCCCGGGCUCAACCUGGGAAUUGCAUUUGAGACUGCACGGCUAGAGUGUGUCAGAGGGGGGUAGAAUUCCACGUGUAGCAGUGAAAUGCGUAGAUAUGUGGAGGAAUACCGAUGGCGAAGGCAGCCCCCUGGGAUAACACUGACGCUCAUGCACGAAAGCGUGGGGAGCAAACAGGAUUAGAUACCCGCGUAGUCCCUGAGCGGGCUGGCAAGGCGCAU
RNAcentral lists this ribosomal RNA (472 nucleotides) under uncultured bacterium. RNAcentral's name for it is "bacterial SSU rRNA". It matches the Rfam family "Bacterial small subunit ribosomal RNA", at positions 355 to 825 of the family's 1533-position model. The record is from RNAcentral.